Molecule: ribosomal RNA, 450 nt
Filed under: uncultured bacterium
Lineage: Bacteria
Description: partial 16S ribosomal RNA
Rfam family: Bacterial small subunit ribosomal RNA
Source: RNAcentral
GUAGGGAAUCUUCCACAAUGGGCGCAAGCCUGAUGGAGCAACACCGCGUGAGUGAAGAAGGGUUUCGGCUCGUAAAGCUCUGUUGUUAAAGAAGAACACGUAUGAGAGUAACUGUUCAUACGUUGACGGUAUUUAACCAGAAAGUCACGGCUAACUACGUGCCAGCAGCCGCGGUAAUACGUAGGUGGCAAGCGUUAUCCGGAUUUAUUGGGCGUAAAGAGAGUGCAGGCGGUUUUCUAAGUCUGAUGUGAAAGCCUUCGGCUUAACCGGAGAAGUGCAUCGGAAACUGGAUAACUUGAGUGCAGAAGAGGGUAGUGGAACUCCAUGUGUAGCGGUGGAAUGCGUAGAUAUAUGGAAGAACACCAGUGGCGAAGGCGGCUACCUGGUCUGCAACUGACGCUGAGACUCGAAAGCAUGGGUAGCGAACAGGAUUAGAAACCCGGGUAGUCC